UUUCUUUUUCGCUAUAUGGCAACAAGUAUUAUUUUUUUGAAAUGUGCUUUCGUUUUUACGUAAAACGUAGUGUUCUCGGCUUGUUUUGAUGUUAUGUGUGUCAACAAUGCCAGUUUAAUGCUGCAUUUUCACUGAAUAAAUAGUAAUUUCAUUCAUCUGGGGAACUUGUAGUUAUUUUAGUGAUUUGAAAGGUUUAGCGGCUGUGACUGAUGAAGCAGUAAUAGUGAAGAACUUCAAGAAAACUAACUAGGCUAUUUAAUGCAUAUGAUGAUUCUAAAGAUCACUACAUGUGGGCAGGCAGUCACAGUGGUGAUGAAUAUAAUGGCAAUGACUCACAAGCUGUAGCAGAUGACAGACAGCAGUUCCAAAAACAUUAAAUGAUGUGCAGUCUAAAGAGUGAGAAAUGGACGACAACAAACAGCAAGCAAGAUUCAAGAUACAGGGAAAUAGAAAGGAAAAGAUACUGCAAUUUAAUAUCACUGCGUAUUCUUACUGGAAUGCUUCUUUUAAAUAAAUAAUAUUAUGGUAGUUACCAGCAGUUUAUUCAUGAACAGUUUGCAUUUAUUAUGUUCUUAUUGUAACUGCAUCUUUCCAAAAUUUAAUUAUUUGCAUAUUUUUUCUCUCUUGGUUUUCAAAUAAUAAAAUUAGUUAGAAAAGGAGGAAUACACAAAUAAAUGCAGUAUACCUGUACAAGUAAAACUGCUUGGCAUGUCUUAUCCCAUAACGAAAAAGUACUUGUCUUUUCUUUUCACGUUAUAUAGAACAAUAAGACCUUACAGUAACAUUUCAAGCAGUAAAACAUUGAAAACUGGCAGUUCUACACAGAUUUAAACCCAUCAUCCUACAGAAGUCAUUAUCAUGGACAAUCCUGUUCAAGAAACACUUCAGUGUGUAAGCAAAUUUCUAAUUCUACUGUGUAUGCUAAAGCUUGGUAAUGGUUCAAAGAAAAUUGCUCAUACAGUUGACCAGAAAAAAAAAAAAGAGUAGAAUUUAAAUUUUAUGUAGCUUAAUAUUAUUGAUACAUGAAAACAGUCCAUCCAAGAGUUUCUGUAUUUAUUUACAUUAUGACAAUAAAUACCUUAUUAAUUCAGGAAAA
Molecule: unclassified non-coding RNA, 1096 nt
Filed under: Stegodyphus dumicola
Lineage: Eukaryota; Metazoa; Arthropoda; Arachnida; Araneae; Eresidae
Description: zinc finger protein 99-like, transcript variant X3
Source: RNAcentral